GAUGAACGCUGGCGGCGUGCCUAAUACAUGCAAGUCGAGCGGAAACAGGGAGAGCUUGCUCUCCGCUGUCGAGCGGCGGACGGCUGAGUAACACGUAGGAACAUACCCCAAAGGGAGGGAUAACUGCUCGAAAGAGUAGCUAAUACCGCAUGUGGUCUAAGGAUUAAAGCUUCGGCGCUUUGGGAAUGGCCUGCGUUCGAUUAGCUAGAUGGUGGGGUAAAGGCCUACCAAGGCGACGAUCAGUAGCUGGUCUGAGAGGACGAUCAGCCACACUGGGACUGAGACACGGCCCAGACUCCUACGGGAGGCAGCAGUGGGGAAUUUUGGACAAUGGGCGAAAGCCUGAUCCAGCAAUGCCGCGUGUGUGAAGAAGGCCUUCGGGUUGUAAAGCACUUUUGUCCGGAAAGAAAUGGCUCUGGUUAAUACCUGGGGUCGAUGACGGUACCGGAAGAAUAAGGACCGGCUAACUACGUGCCAGCCGCCGCCGUAA
RNAcentral lists this ribosomal RNA (490 nucleotides) under uncultured bacterium. RNAcentral describes it as "partial 16S ribosomal RNA". It matches the Rfam family "Bacterial small subunit ribosomal RNA", at positions 28 to 523 of the family's 1533-position model. The record is from RNAcentral.